Molecule: unclassified non-coding RNA, 380 nt
Filed under: Hevea brasiliensis (rubber tree)
Lineage: Eukaryota; Viridiplantae; Streptophyta; Magnoliopsida; Malpighiales; Euphorbiaceae
Source: RNAcentral
AUAAUCCCGUCUACUACUUCUCUGAAUUUGGAUUCAGACUCAUCUAUUAACUCAUCACAAAACUCGUAAUACAGCACCAGUUUUGGAAGCUCGCUCCAAAUGUAUCUCCAGCUUUUGGACAAUGUACAAGUUUUUGCAGCUUCUUUAAUAGGCAAGAGCUCAAGGAUACAAUCAAUAACAUUUCUUGGUAGGACACUAAUUCUAUCUUCUAUGUCCCCCUCAACCGCAACGCUUACUCCAUCUUGAUUCAUGUUUGAUUUUCUUUUUCUGAUUUGAUUUUUUUCCCACCUUACUAGCAAUAGUGCAUAAUUUGUGCAAAGAGGUGUCUUGCUCUCAGCGAAGACUGCCGGCGACGGCGAAGAGCAGAACCGGAGUGAAAU